RNA transcript from Panicum virgatum (switchgrass), 3126 nucleotides. It is a transcript of the gene named dynamin-related protein 3B-like, with no coding region annotated. NCBI's taxonomy places the organism in Eukaryota, Viridiplantae, Streptophyta, Magnoliopsida, Poales, Poaceae. The record is from RefSeq and is a predicted model, not a curated record. The transcript is spliced from 20 exons.
CCGGAAACCCCCCCUCGACGCCUCUCGAUUUGAAAUCCCCACCCCGAAGUCGGAAAAAAUUAGAAGAGGAAAAAGGAAAAGCUCUCGAUCUAGGGAUCCCCUUCCCGUCGGCCUCUCGUUCCCCUCCUCCCCCCAAAACCCUAGGCCAGCUUAGCGGCGGAGCUCGCCCGCCCCGGACCAUGGCCGAGGACCACUACUCCUCCGCGUCGUCCGCCGCCCCGUCGGCUGCGGCGGCCGCGGCGGCCGCGGCGGCGGCGGCGGUGGGGUCGUCGGUGAUCCCGAUCGUCAACAAGCUGCAGGACAUCUUCGCGCAGCUGGGGAGCAGCUCCACGAUCGACCUGCCGCAGGUGGCCGUGGUGGGGAGCCAGAGCAGCGGCAAGUCCAGCGUCCUCGAGGCGCUCGUCGGCCGCGACUUCCUCCCCCGGGGCUCCGACAUCUGCACGCGCCGCCCCCUCGUGCUUCAGCUCGUGCACCAGCCGCGACGACCCACAGACGCCGAGGCCGAUGAGUGGGGCGAGUUCCUGCACCUCUCGGGCCGCCGCUUCUACGACUUUAGAGAUAUCCGGCGUGAGAUCCAGGCAGAAACGGAUCGGGAGGCGGGUGGUAACAAGGGUGUGUCAGAUAGGCAGAUCCGUUUGAAGAUUUUUUCACCAAAUGUUCUUAACAUUACUUUGGUCGAUUUGCCUGGAAUCACUAAGGUGCCAGUUGGUGACCAACCAACUGAUAUUGAGGCCAGAAUAAGGACUAUGAUAAUGUCGUACAUCAGACACAAGACAUGUAUCAUCUUAGCUGUUUCACCAGCAAAUGCAGAUUUAGCAAAUUCUGAUGCUCUUCAAAUGGCUCGGGUUGCUGAUCCUGAUGGUUCUCGAACAAUCGGUGUUAUCACAAAGCUGGACAUAAUGGACAGGGGCACUGAUGCCUGCAACUUUCUGCUGGGAAAUGUGAUCCCUUUAAAACUCGGCUAUGUUGGCGUGGUAAACCGAAGCCAGCAGGAUAUCAACUCUGACCUUAGUAUCAAAGAUGCUCUGGCUCGUGAAGAAAAAUUCUUCCGUACUCAGCCGGCAUAUCAUGGUCUUACUCAGUACUGCGGAAUACCGCAAUUAGCAAAGAAGCUAAACCAGAUCCUGGUCCAACAUAUAAAAACAGUUCUGCCGGGGCUUAAGUCACGCAUAAGCAGUCAAUUGACUGCUGUUGCUAAGGAGCUUGCUAUAUAUGGUGAUCCUGUUGAUUCAAAGGCCGGGCAAGGUGCGAAGCUUUUGAACAUUCUAGCUAAAUACUGUGAAGCGUUCUCCUCGAUGGUGGAAGGAAAAAAUGAAGAUAUAUCAACCAUUGAACUUUCUGGAGGAGCAAGAAUCCAUUAUAUUUUUCAGUCUAUCUUUGUAAAAAGCUUAGAGGAGGUUGACCCUUGCGAGGAUGUUACCGAUGAAGACAUCCGCAUGGCUAUCCAAAAUGCAACUGGUCCUAGAAGUGCGCUGUUUGUACCUGAAGUACCAUUUGAAGUCCUUGUACGUAGGCAGAUCAGCAGAUUGCUUGAUCCAAGUCUUCAGUGUGCACAAUUCAUAUAUGAUGAGCUAGUAAAGAUGAGCCAUCACUGCCUUGCAACAGAGCUGCAGCAGUUUCCUAUACUCCGCAGAAGCAUGGAUGAAGUAAUUGGGAAGUUUUUGCGGGAUGGGCUUAAACCAGCAGAAAGUAUGAUAGCACACAUUAUUGAGAUGGAGGAGGAUUACAUAAACACAUCACACCCAAAUUUUAUUGGUGGCAGCAAGGCUGUUGAGCAAGCACAACAGCAAGUUAGGUCUGCUAAAAUGUCAUCAUCGGUGGUAAGAAAGGAUGGAGUUGAUGCUGAUAAGGUACAGGCUUCUGAAAAAACUCAAAAAACACGCGCAGUAUUGGGUAGAACUGUAAAUGGAGUAAUUACUGAUCACAUCCAGGGUGUAAGGCCUGCGUCCGAGGCUGAGAGACCAGGAUCUUCUGGUAGUGGAAGCACAUCCUUUUGGAAUUCAAUAUUUACUUCCAAUGAGGACCGUACACAUGCAUCUGCAAAAGAUAAUUCAGCUAGCAGAUCGUAUGCUGUGCCUGCACCCAAUCUGGAACAUUCAUUCUCCACGAUACAGUUAAGAGAGCCACCAGUCGUCCUUAAACCUUCAGAACACCAGUCUGAGCAGGAAGCACUCGAAAUAGCAAUCACAAAAUUGCUAUUGAAGUCAUAUUACAAUAUAGUCAGGAAAAAUGUGGAGGACUUCAUACCAAAAGCAAUUAUGCAUUUCCUGGUUAAUCACACAAAAAGGGCGCUGCAUAAUUACCUCAUAACAAAACUUUACAAGUAGAGAUGAUCUCUUGGAGGACUUGCUCAAAGAACCUGAUGAGAUAACCAUAAAGAGGAAGCAGAUAAAAGAAAAUCUUAAGGUUCUUCAGCAAGCUUACAAAACUUUGGACGAGAUACCACUCGACGCUGAGGCAGUUGAGAGGGGUGGCUACUCCCUUGACUCUGAUGUGAUUGGUCUACCAAGGGCCCAUGGGAUUUCCUCAUCCCUUCAUAGAUUCAAUGAUGGAAGUUCACCAUAUUCAACCCCAAAGCAAUCAAGGUCAAGGAGAUCCAACCAUUCAGGGGAGCAGCCCCCUUUCAAUACCAAUAUGAGUGGCAAUGGUUUUUGAUGCCACAUUUCACUCUCGCCACUCCCAGAUUGGUGAUUGAACCACAUCAAGUUUGUUGGCACCCAUAGAUAUGUUUUUUUUUCUAGUUAUAUUCUUUGUAGCGCUGCGCCGAUGAAGCCUGACGUGGUGCGAGUUUUGUCAUUUUGCCUUUCUGUACAGUAUAUCUUUGCCCAGUCAUUUUGUCUUCAAUGAUAUCAGUGAUGGGUAUAGUUUUGUUCGGACGGUCGGACCCAUGGAAGAAGCUAUGGAAAAUUCUGCUAGGUGUAGUAGUGCCGAGGGCCUGUAUGUUACCACGGAUUUGCCGUGCAAAAUAUGACAUGGCUGGUAUGGUGGUACAAAAAGUUGCGACGUCACACUUGUUCCUUUUUUUUCUACUUUGAAUUGUGAAGCCUUCGUUUAAUAAUUGUGAUUGUUAAUCAGUAUUGUGAUUUGGUGAAUAAUUUUUAAGCAACAGGAUCGUUCUUUGUUUUA